RNAcentral lists this ribosomal RNA (497 nucleotides) under uncultured bacterium. RNAcentral's name for it is "partial 16S ribosomal RNA". It matches the Rfam family "Bacterial small subunit ribosomal RNA", at positions 28 to 507 of the family's 1533-position model. The record is from RNAcentral.
GAUGAACGCUGGCGGCGUGCCUAAUACAUGCAAGUCGAGCGAACAGAUGAGGAGCUUGCUCCUCUGACGUUAGCGGCGGACGGGUGAGUAACACGUGGAUAACCUACCUAUAAGACUGGGAUAACUUCGGGAAACCGGAGCUAAUACCGGAUAAUAUAUUGAACCGCAUGGUUCAAUAGUGAAAGACGGUUUUGCUGUCACUUAUAGAUGGAUCCGCGCCGCAUUAGCUAGUUGGUAAGGUAACGGCUUACCAAGGCAACGAUGCGUAGCCGACCUGAGAGGGUGAUCGGCCACACUGGAACUGAGACACGGUCCAGACUCCUACGGGAGGCAGCAGUAGGGAAUCUUCCGCAAUGGGCGAAAGCUUGACGGAGCCACGCCGCGUGAGUGAUGAAGGUCUUCGGAUCGUAAAACUCUGUUAUUAGGGAAGAACAAAUGUGUAAGUAACUAUGCACGUCUUGACGGUACCUAAUCAAAAAGCCACGGCUAACUACGUG